AUAAUAUCUCUUUUGCUAAAUGUCCAAUUUGUAAUUCUGAGGAAUUUCAUGAAGACUCGGAUUCAUGCACAAUCUUAUUUCAACAUCUUCCAUAAGAAUGAUUCCAUCUUAAAUUCUUUCAUCAAAUAUUUUACUGUAUAUGAAAUCUCUACAGGAGAUCCGAUAAUAUUUAAAUCAUCAAACGUACUCUAUAUUUAUUCUUGUAGCCUUCUUUUAACAAGUACCAACUAAGGCAAUUAUCUUAUAUAUGCCCCGAUGUUUCAAUUCACAACAAUAUCGAUUUAAUUUCACAUAUAUAGUUAUGUUCUCGAGAACUAUAAUUUGUUGCUU
RNAcentral lists this long non-coding RNA (330 nucleotides) under Arabidopsis lyrata. RNAcentral's name for it is "long non-coding RNA (ALYR_LNC000526)". The record is from RNAcentral. Lineage: Eukaryota; Viridiplantae; Streptophyta; Magnoliopsida; Brassicales; Brassicaceae.